AGAACGAACGCUGGCGGCAGGCUUAACACAUGCAAGUCGAACGGUUGUAGCAAUACAGCAGUGGCAGACGGGUGAGUAACACGUGGGAACCUUCCUAGGGGUACGGAACAACUCAGGGAAACUUGAGCUAAUACCGUAUACGUCCGUGAGGAGAAAGAUUUAUCGCCCCUAGACGGGCCCGCGUAGGAUUAGGUAGUUGGUGAGGUAACGGCUCACCAAGCCUACGAUCCUUAGUUGAUCUGAGAGGAUGAUCAGCCACACUGGGACUGAGACACGGCCCAGACUCCUACGGGAGGCAGCAGUGGGGAAUCUUGGACAAUGGGCGCAAGCCUGAUCCAGCCAUGCCGCGUGAGUGAAGAAGGCCUCGGGUUGUAAAGCUCUUUACCAGGGACGAUAAUGACGGUACCUGGAGAAUAAGCCCCGGCAAACUUCGCGCCAGCAGCCGC
Molecule: ribosomal RNA, 446 nt
Filed under: uncultured soil bacterium
Lineage: Bacteria
Description: bacterial SSU rRNA
Rfam family: Bacterial small subunit ribosomal RNA
Source: RNAcentral